Molecule: ribosomal RNA, 324 nt
Filed under: uncultured Pseudomonadota bacterium
Lineage: Bacteria; Pseudomonadati; Pseudomonadota
Description: bacterial SSU rRNA
Rfam family: Bacterial small subunit ribosomal RNA
Source: RNAcentral
AGCGAACGUUUGCGGCGGGCCUAACACAUGCAAGUCGAACGAGAAUCUCUUCGGAGAGGAAAGUGGCGCACGGGUGCGUAACACGUGGAUAACCAACCCCCUGGUUCGGGAUAACAUCGGGAAACUGGUGCUAAUACCGGGUGUGUCUGUGAGGCCGUCAGGCUUUGCAGAGAAAGACACGCAAGGGUCGCCAGGGGACGGGUCCGCGUCCCAUCAGCUAGUUGGUGAGGUAAUGGCUCACCAAGGCAAAGACGGGUAGCUGGUCUGAGAGGAUGAUCAGCCACACUGGAACUGAGACACGGUCCAGACUCCUACGGGAGGCAG